Molecule: non-coding RNA, 21 nt
Filed under: Caenorhabditis elegans
Lineage: Eukaryota; Metazoa; Nematoda; Chromadorea; Rhabditida; Rhabditidae
Source: RNAcentral
UGCAUUUUGCAAGGGUUUUUG